Molecule: long non-coding RNA, 3259 nt
Organism: Anolis carolinensis (green anole)
Lineage: Eukaryota; Metazoa; Chordata; Lepidosauria; Squamata; Anolidae
Exons: 2
Source: RefSeq, a predicted model, not a curated record
AUAUAUGGCAAACAUUCAAUGCCAACAGACAAACAACAUACAGUAUAGAGAGACACAGAGGCUUUUAACAUUUUUCCAGCUUCACGAUUCCGGCCACAGGGGGAGCUGUUGCUUCACCGUCCACUAGUGGCUGUACUUCCUCAUUCCUUUCCUCGUGUUUUGCUGGCAGUUUUAUGGUGUUGUAAAUUAGUUAAAUUAGCCUCCCGCAUAAAGCGUACCUAAAUUUCCCUACUUGAUAGAUGCAACUGUCUUUCGGGGCUGAAUAGGUCAACAGCAAGCCGGGCUAUUUAAUGGUUGGGGGCUUAACCCGACCCGGGCUUUGAACUCAUGACCUCUCAGUCAGUAGUGAUUUAUUGCAGCUGGUUACUAGCCAGCUGCGCCACAGCCCGGUAAUUACUGUAUUUACGAAUUUUGCACCAAAAUAUCACAAAGUAUUGAAAAUAUUGACUACAAAAAUGCAUUGGAUAAUCCAGAACGUUGGAUAAGCGAGUGUUGGAUAAGUGAGACUCUACUGUAUAACUACUAAAAUAAUGUAUAAAUAUUAAAAUAAAUAUAGUGUCCCUAUUUUGCAAUUUUUCACUUAUUGUGGGUGAUCCUGGAACCUAACCCCAGCUAUAAGUGAGGGAACACUGUAUCCUCCAAAUACAGAGGAAAUUUGAUUCCUUACUUUUGCAUUGUAUUAUCAAGACAGGAGCCAAAUUGAGCUGGGUGAGGGAUAAUGUGUGCUGAGUGAUGAAUGGAUGGUGGCACAGAAGGGAUAAUUGUAUGAUCAUCAUGGUACGGGUCAUCAUUGUUCUGUGCCAAUGGGAGAAACUGCUGUUGAUAUAGGUUGCCUCUGUUUGGGCAAAUUCAUAUAAUAUAAUCUAUAGAGAGAAAUAGGAAAUUGUGUACAUGUUUUGCUCUGAUUUCGGUGCCAAAGCCCUAUGGAAGUCUUGUAUGUGGAUAGGGUAAAGAUUCAAAGUAGAAACUUAGUAUGAUUUCCAUGAUCACAGAAGCACAAAAUUGCAUUGUAUCUGUGGAUCAACAUUUUUAAUUUGGAUGCACCAAUAAGCUUUAAACUGAUUUUUAUGACUUUGGGCAAUAAUUGCAAGGCAAGAUUCAUGGGAACCCCAUAGCAGAAAGUUUAAUUUUAUCUUGUCCUGACCAGCUUUACCUACACAAAUUUCCUUUUUCCCCCUCUUUUAUAUUUCCAUUAGAAGUCUUUCAAGGUUGAUCUUACUGUGAUGAAUGCGUGAAUUGAUGUCCAAAAUAACAACGGUGACAGGCAGACACUACUGGAUUGCUCCUUUUGUUUGAUAGAUGAAAUGGGCUCAUUUUGUAGCUAUUUAUUUAUUUACAGUAUUUAUACCCCGUCCUUCUCACCUCAAAGGGGACUCAGAGUGGCUUUCCAGAACACAUAUAUGGCAAACAUUCAAUCCCAAUGAUACAGUUAACAAGGACGGACAACACAGAAGAGGUAAAGGCCCUUUUUCCCGACUUAUUUCCAGCAUCUUUGGAGGCUGUGCUCGACUACAGCCACGGGUGUGUGUGUGUGUGUGUGCUGUCAUUCCAUUUUCCAUGCCGAGGAGCUUUCCUCCAAUCGAUGCCCUUAAGAGUGCCUUUUUAUUACCUUCCCACUAAAAGCAGUACCUAUUUAUCUGCUCGCAUUUCUGUUUUCAACCUGCUAGGUAUGCAGGUGAGCUGGGGCUAAUGGCGGGUGCUCACCCCAACCUGGGCUCGAACUGCUGUCCUUUCAAUCAAGUAAAAAUGAAUAAUCAUCAAUGUUUUACAUCAAGUACUUGGCUACACAUGCAUAACUGAGUAAUAUCUCCUAACCUGACCCAUCACCCUGAUCACUUUAAGAACCAGCAGCUAUAUUGGAGAAAGGAUUCAAUUCAUCUUCCAAUCCAGGCUAAAAGAGGACGAUAUCUCCAGCACCCCUCUCACCCUUGUGUACGGCGAUGAUAAGGACUUGAAUAGAGUUCCUGAUUCCAAGGAUUUUUAUGCAACCAUAUUUUUUUUCCUGCAGAGAAGUCUUGCAGUGGGUGACAUUUUCUCAGAACGGUGUCUUGAUGCAUUGAGACACCCUUUCCCAUUGAGGACGAGAACAUUUGUGAGUAUCCUUUCUAUGCCUAAUAGCUUCAAGGUGCCACUGCCAAUUUCAGCUGCUCCAGCUCAUCAAAUUAAACUGAAGUGAGGGCAAUUCCUGUGACUCCAAGGACACUGAAGGCAAAGGAGGAAAAGGCAAAUUGUGCCAAGAAAAAAAGGAGUCCUAAAUGCAAAAGACAAUGUUCAACACUCAAAUACUAAAUGAGCAAUUGUGAUUUAGCCCUGUAGAGGAAAAUUUGUUGAUUGGGGAAAUUUUUGGGCACAAUUGAAAGAAAUACAUGUUUUUUUGCCCAGUAGAAAGUCAUGGGAUUUUAAUUCAUACCAAUGGCUACCAUUUGGUUUGAUAGAAAUGAAACCUGUGUAUAUCCAGAUAUCUAUGUUACCAAUUCUGUUAAUUCAGAGUUUGUCCCAGUGAAACUUUGACAUAAUCAGUGUGAAGCCUGCAAUCUACAUCAGCCGAACUCCCCUUUUAAAAUUUAGACUUAUUCCUUCUCUUGAGGAACGUUAGAUAUGACCAUUAGUAGUAAAAUUUGAUUUUUAAAAAUUGAAGGUAUAUCCAUGCAGAUAGACUAACAGAAUCAUAAAAUCAUAGAGUUGACAUAUUGUUUAAUUCAAAAUUCCAACAUUUUUAUGGAAUUGCAGAAAUUUGUUGCAUAUUUCACAUGCUGAACACUUUGGAAAGGAUUUUUUUAAAAAUCUGUGACUGUGGGUUCUUUAAUCAUAACAAUGGUUUCAAUCAUUUCUGAAUUUGAAAAUAAGGAAAUGGGCCUCAUAUUAUUAGGUUGUGACAUUGUGUCUAGUAGUCCUAUUUUAUAAUAAGGCAACAGCCUUAGUUUGAAAAACCAUUGUGUUUGUGUAUUGGUGUGUCUUCCAGAAUGCAAGACUCAGCAUAGCAGAUAUGCUUGCUGACAAAAAACAUAGUUCUUAAGCUUUUGGGUGUUACCAAGCACUUUGGAAGUCUGAUGAAAGGUGUGUACCUGCUUCUGGAAAAAUACACAUACACAAUUUUCAAAAUAUCAAGAAGAAAUUCACAGGAAAAAGAAAUCAAUUGUUUUGCACUCCAGAGAUCACAUAGCCCACAGAAUGGAACUGGAAAGAACUGUAAAAUCACACUUAUUUUUAAAAUGGAUUUUUUUUUUUUUUGGCUAAAGUGAAGUUGGAGAAAAUUGCA